RNAcentral lists this ribosomal RNA (416 nucleotides) under Ecytonucleospora hepatopenaei. Its description in RNAcentral is "SSU rRNA". It matches the Rfam family "Microsporidia small subunit ribosomal RNA", at positions 402 to 819 of the family's 1311-position model. The record is from RNAcentral. Lineage: Eukaryota; Fungi; Microsporidia; Enterocytozoonidae.
GCGGUAAUUCCAACUCCAAGAGUGUCUAUGGUGGAUGCUGCAGUUAAAGGGUCCGUAGUCGUAGAUGCAAUUAAAAGGUGGUGUUAAAAGCCAUUGAGUUUGUUGAGAGUAGCGGAACGGAUAGGGAGCAUGGUAUAGGUGGGCAAAGAAUGAAAUCUCAAGACCCCACCUGGACCAACGGAGGCGAAAGCGAUGCUCUUAGACGUAUCUGGGGAUCAAGGACGAAGGCUAGAGUAUCGAAAGUGAUUAGACACCGCUGUAGUUCUAGCAGUAAACUAUGCCGACAAUGCUGGGUGUUGCGAGAGCGAUGCUUGGUGUGGGAGAAAUCUUAGUUUUCGGGCUCUGGGGAUAGUACGCUCGCAAGGGUGAAACUUAAAGCGAAAUUGACGGAAGGACACUACCAGGAGUGGAUUGUG